AGUAACAAUUAUUAUCCGGACCUCUGCAUACAUUUGAACUUAUCUAGCUAGACCUUUACUCAUAAAAGUUGAGUAGCCCUGUAUAGUGCAUGAUGAAGUGUGUUGAUGGUGUGCUAUGUAAAUGGGCUGGUUAGGUGUUUUUUCUAACUGAUUCUGCUCUCAAUCAAGGUAUAUAAGUAAACUGAUAAAGAAAUUAAUGAAUUGAUAAGUGAACAAGGAAUUCAAUAUGAGAAUAUUAAAAAGAAACCAAUAAAUCAAUAAAGAAUUAAGUACAGCAAAACCUUUAGGUUUGUACAAUUGGAACAGAGGCCUUGCCAACUUAACUAAAUUGCCAAUCUAUGUAAUAGCCCACCCCCCUUUUCUGGCACCUCUGAAUCCCCAGGGUUGCCAUAUACUAGGGGUUUUACAUUAUCAGACAGUGGAUCCUGUAUUUCACAAAUUUCUAUUUAAGAAUUUUUAUAAAGUCUGAGAGCUGAAUUUAGGAUAACUUUUCCAUAUACGAUUUUAUUCUAUUUAACAUGAAUCAUAUUACAGUAGUGGUGAAAAUAAAAAUAUAAACAAAAAUCCAUCCAUUGGUCCAUAGAGCAACAAAAUGAUUAUAUUAAACAAGGAAAUAAAUCAAGGAAUGAGUAAAUGAAUGCAUAAAUGAAUUAGUAAAUAAAAAUAAAUGAAAUAGGUGCCUCUCAGUUAGGCUUAAUGUGUGAGGUUCACCUAACAGGCCUACUGUAACAGCACCCUGUGUGGUGUGGGAGAUAGCAGGACUGCUGGAGGGCUUCUGUAUCUUGUUUAUGUGUGAUAACAAGGAAGCAACACAUCAGUUAUUACAGGGUAUUGAUUUCUCAGUUUUCCCCACAUUACAAUACAUGAUAGAAGGCUGUGAAUGAAGGAGAGGGAGGGUGGUAGGGCUGCAAGAUGUGCAUGGGAGGAUGAAGGAGAGGAAAGGGAUGGUUCAUGAGGAUAGAAAGCUUUGAGUGAAGUGGGAGAGGAGGCAGGACAACCAGAUACUGUGUGGGAGGAGAGGAAGGAAAGCACAGCACAAGGGAGGGUGAUGGAAAGGAGAGGUAGGAUGAUCAGGUAAUAUAUGGCAGGGAAGAGGAGAGGGGAGAGUAAGUUAGGUCACUGUAGAUGUGAGGGAGGAGAGGAAGGCAGUAUGUAGAGUUAGGUUAAGAAUUGGCGGCGAUGGUGCUGCCGCCACAGCCGCAAAAUAGCUCACAGAGGGUUUUGUUAGGUUAGGUAAGGUUAGCUAAGGUUAGGUUAGGCUAUAUUCAUGCUCCGUGAUAAAAUUCGCGGUAUUUGCAUAAAAAUAACAGGUUUGCUCUGGCGAUGGCCGCAGUGCAGCCGGUGUUGCAAGAAAUACCUCCUCGCAGAAAUAAGUCACAUUUACAUGUGGGGGAGCCCAGGGGGGGCACAGCCCCCUGGUUAGAAGGGGGGUCGAGGGGGGCGCAGCCCCCCCAUUAGCAGGUCGUAAAGUUCGGUUGGAGUAGUUUAAAUAUGUUCCCCCACUCUAAACCCUCUGCGAGCUAUUUUGCGGCUGUGACGGUGGCACCGUCGCCGCGGCCAACACCAGAGGAGGCGACACACUUUCGUAAACAUUAUCCCCUAUUUUCAAGAGUAAAAAAAAAGUCCUUGAAUUGGAUUUUGAAAGCGUUUCCAUGACUGUUGAAGGUUUGUUGAAAAGAUAUAUACCGUUUACCAUUGUUUACCGUUGAUGAGGUUUCAGGCCCUGCUCUGCUGCUGAUGCAGCGCUCUACGAGGGCCGUCAACAAUUUCAACGUUAGCCUCAAUAAUAGUCUUCGAUGCACUUAUUCUCAAACAUCAUAGUGAGUGAGUGAGUGAGUGUCUUAAUUUCUUUCAUGAAUAAUAUCACAUAUUACAAUUAGUCCAGUGUUUAUGUCUGCUGUUUUCAUUAUAGCAUCACAAUUAAAUAUUCAACAAUUAUUUCCAGCACACUGAACCUUCAUCACACACAAUUUAUCUUUGAGUACUGACACUGAUUAACCCCUUCCCGGCAGCAGGGCAGAUGUAUGUACUACCAAAAAAAAAAUCGUCUCUGUAUAGACGCUGUCGACUUUCAUCCAUACGUGUAUAUAUAGAUUCCCCGCAAGUGGGCAUUCCAGAUUGACGUCUAUAUAUAGACUCUGCCGCAAAACUGAACAAACAUUUGAAUCUAUAUAUAGAUGUUAUUUGAAUUUGAUUGGUUAUAUGUAUAUUGAUAUAUUUAUAUGAAGGUUUAGAUUCUGUAUCAGUGUAAUCAUCAAAAACAUCCAAACAAUCAGCAUCUAUAUCCUCAGCUACCAAAGAAGUCAUUUCUUCCGUCUAAAGAGGUCUCUUUCUCCUUGACAUGAUAGACUAAUAAUAAAAUAAAAUAGGAAAAAAGAAAUGCAUAAAUUCCCAGUGUUAGCUGAUGUGCAUAGCACAUCCACCACCGACAAAGCACAAGCGGUGACUGUCCUUGAGAGGCAAUGUCGGUAAGUGUCAGGGGGUUUGAGAUGCCAAAUAACGAUUUAUUUUGUUGAUUUUGUUAGUAGUAAGGAAUCGUCUAUAUAUAGACCAUGCUACAAUCUAGUGUGGGCAAAUGAGAGCAAACGUCUAUAUAUAGACGCGCCGACAAAAAGUCCCAAUUUCGAAACGUCUAUAUAUAGAUCCUCGGCCGGGAAGGGGUUAAUAGCCAUGAUCGGUCACGUUACGAAUUCUCUCAAUUUCAGUCUGGAGAACUACACAACACUGGUCAUUCGCUGAGUGGUUGAUUUCAGGCUUCUUGUAUCUCACACAAUUUAUGCAUUUCUUCUCAGCCAUGGUGCACUCCUGUGAUUUAUGAUUGCCAGUGCAUUUGAAACAAUUUGGGGCAUCUCCAUUGGUCUUGGCAGUACAGUUGGCCUCAAGAUGGCCAUAUCUCUGACAAUGAUAGUAUAUAAUUGCAUGGUAUCUGUCUCACUGUGUAUAUUCCCCAUUCUAAUUUUAACUUGUGAUUCUUGUGAAUCAGCUGUUUUAUAGUUGGGUCACACCUCAAAAUGUAGUGCAUCGUGCCGCCAGCUGCAGGCUUGCUAAAAACCAGCUCAAUCUUAUCCUCAACACCCCCAAUGGCGUGUAAGAACUCAUUGCGGUCUAAGAUGGUCUCCUUUAUUUUUUCCUUAAUCUCCUCUUUAUGCACAUUGCAUAUCAUGAUCUUUGGUUUCAUCUUUCCAACACUCUUGGUAUUAAUUUGCUGAACAGACUCCAGUUUUUGAGCAGCCUCAUCCCUUGUGUUCUCAUUAUCAAAGUUCAUGAUAAUGUUACCUCUAUUUGUAAAUCUUGAAUCAGUUAUCUGAAUACCAUUCAAUGCCCGAGACUUCAUCCUUCAUGUCUGUUGCCUUCUUUUCCUGUGUAGAAGCUUUUACAACUAAGAGAUUUUUCUUGACCUUCUUGCCUCUCUUUGCCACCUCAGCCCAGCUAGAUUCAGCAUGCUCAGCAAGUUUAAGCAUGUCAACAACUGAUCCCAGCUCCUGCACCUUCACAGCCCUUGAUUCAACUUCAUCCUUAACCACAGAUAUUUCCUUAGAUAAUUGUUGCUUGAAUUCAUCCAUUUUUUCCACAAUUUUGGUAGCCAGAGAUGCUUUAUGGAGGCAUGGGUUGCACAUCCAAUUAAUUUUAAGUAUAUUCUCCUGCUUAAUUCCAGACAAAUGAGCACACUUCACAUGACACCAUUUAGGGCACAAACAGCAUCCAAUCCAUUUCUCGCCUGUGAAAUCCUUACAAAUGUAACACAAAUCCAACGGGACCUUGGCUUUGCCAGCUAUGUCGACACAGCACUUUCCACACGGAGCAAGACAUGACACAUCCGAUCAUGGCCACGACCACUCACCACAAGAGACAGUGAUGUUUCAUAAAGUAGAUAAUGAGAUACUGGCACAGUACUAAAACAAAUCUUUACCAGUACUUAUAUUUAUUAGGUUUGUUAGUAUUAUACGUGUUAUUAAAAUUCCGCCACUUUUAAUGGACUUCCAACAUUAACGGACUAAGUUCCCCUCAUAAGUCCAUUGUGCCGAGGGUUUACCAUAUAGGUAUAGGUACAUCUUUUGUAUGCCGGUGUGGGUUUUAUUCACAAAUAAAGUUUUCAUGCAAUGACUUGGAUUUUGGUCACUCUUCAUACAAGGGGUUGGAGUUUUAUCACAGAACCCUUAAAAACGGCACACAGGCCAGGUGACCCAUACUUUACACAACACACAGGCCAGGUGAACCAUACAUAACAAGGUACAGGCCAGGUGAACCAUACUUUACAAGGUGCACAGGCCAGGUGAACCAUACAUAACAAGGUGCACAGGCCAGGUGAACCAUACAUAACAAGGUGCACAGGCCAGGUGAACCAUACAUAACAAGGUGCACAGGCCAGGUGAACCAUACAUAAGAAGGUGCACAGGCCAGGUGAACCAUACAUAACAAGGUGCACAGGCCAGGUGAACCAUACAUAAGAAGGUGCACAGGCCAGGU
Eriocheir sinensis (Chinese mitten crab) is the source of this 4467-nucleotide long non-coding RNA. RefSeq lists it as uncharacterized. The record is from RefSeq and is a predicted model, not a curated record. The transcript has 3 exons. NCBI's taxonomy places the organism in Eukaryota, Metazoa, Arthropoda, Malacostraca, Decapoda, Varunidae.